Acidithiobacillus thiooxidans is the source of this 364-nucleotide non-coding RNA. The record is from Rfam. NCBI's taxonomy places the organism in Bacteria, Pseudomonadati, Pseudomonadota, Acidithiobacillia, Acidithiobacillales, Acidithiobacillaceae.
GGGGGCGACCGGCUUCGACGCAGGUCGCGAAGCCUUCGGUGCAUGCAGAGCUGCGGUUUGCUCUUAAAACUGGUCGCAGACUCAUAAUUGCCAACGACAGCAAUUACGCCCUCGCUGCUUAAGCAGUGAGCCCUCUGCCCGGAUUUGUUCGUGGAUCCGGAGUCGAAAGACGCGCGGAGGGUCAUAAAACACGGAAUCGGGUCUGUUCUAGUCUGUGGAACCGAUCCUAAACUAAAGCAGAAUCGCCGUAGCAUCAUCCUGUUUGUCGGAGGGUGGCGCGGUUAAAGCCAAUAGACAAACUACGCAUGUAGAUCCGGUGGUCUAGGUACUGCGGACGCGGGUUCAAUUCCCGCCGCCUCCACCA